GAUUAACGCGAAGAACCUUACCAAGGCUUGACAUAUACGAGAACGCGCUGGAGACAGCGAACUCUUUGGACACUCGUAUACAGGUGGUGCAUGGUUGUCGUCAGCUCGUGUCGUGAGAUGUUGGGUUAAGUCCCGCAACGAGCGCAACCCUCGUCCUAUGUUGCCAGCACGUCAUGGUGGGAACUCAUGGGAUACUGCCGGGGUCAACUCGGAGGAAGGUGGGGAUGAGGUCAAAUCAUCAUGCCCCUUAUGCCUUGGGCUUCACGCAUGCUACAAUGGCCGGUACAAUGGGCUGCGAUACCGCAAGGUGGAGCGAAUCCCAAAAAGCCGGUCUCAGUUCGGAUUGAGGUCUGCAACUCGACCUCAUGAAGUCGGAGUCGCUAGUAAUCGCAGAUCAGCAACGCUGCGGUGAAUACGUUCCCGGGCCUUGUACACACCGAA
RNAcentral lists this ribosomal RNA (441 nucleotides) under uncultured bacterium. Its description in RNAcentral is "bacterial SSU rRNA". It matches the Rfam family "Bacterial small subunit ribosomal RNA", at positions 954 to 1394 of the family's 1533-position model. The record is from RNAcentral.